GAUGAACGCUGGCGGCGUGCCUAAUACAUGCAAGUCGAGCGAACGGACGAGAAGCUUGCUUUUCUGAUGUUAGCGGCGGACGGGUGAGUAACACGUGGAUAACCUACCUAUAAGACUGGGAUAACUUCGGGAAAACGGAGCUAAUACCGGCUAAUAUUUUGAACCGCAUGGUUCAAAAGUGAAAGACGGUCUUGAUGUCACUUAUCGAUUGAUCCGCGCUGCAUUAGCUAGUUGGUAAGGUAACGGCUUACCAAGGCAACGAUGCAUAGCCGACCUGAGAGGGUGAUCGGCCACACUGGAACUGAGACACGGUCCAGACUCCUACGGGAGGCAGCAGUAGGGAAUCUUCCGCAAUGGGCGAAAGCCUGACGGAGCAACGCCGCGUGAGUGAUGAAGGUCUUCGGAUCGUAAAACUCUGUUAUUAGGGAAGAACAUAUGUGUAAGUAACUGUGCACAUCUUGACGGUACCUAAUCAGAAAGCCCCGGCUAACUACGUG
This 497-nucleotide ribosomal RNA is filed under the name uncultured bacterium. RNAcentral's name for it is "partial 16S ribosomal RNA". It matches the Rfam family "Bacterial small subunit ribosomal RNA", at positions 28 to 507 of the family's 1533-position model. The record is from RNAcentral.